Molecule: unclassified non-coding RNA, 231 nt
Filed under: plant metagenome
Description: partial contains small subunit ribosomal RNA, internal transcribed spacer 1, and 5.8S ribosomal RNA
Source: RNAcentral
UCUCCGUUGGUGAACCAGCGGAGGGAUCAUUACAGAGUUGCAAAACUCCCAAACCAUUGUGAACGUUACCUAUCCCGUUGCUUCGGCGGGCGGCCCGGGCCCCGCGCCCGGCGCCCCCCGGCCCCCCGUGGGCGCCCGCCGGAGGUAAACCAAACCCUCGAAUUGCAUGGCCUCUCUGAGUCUUCUGUACUGAAUAAGUCGAAACUUUCAACAACGGAUCUCUUGGUUCUG